CCUCCUCCUCCUCCUCCUCCUCCCAGGAGCCCCACACACUCACAGCUGCUGCUUCUCACCUCUGCCAAGCUUCCCCAGAGGGCAAGAGCCUGGGAUUCUGGAAGCCCGGCCUAAUCUGGACAAGACCUCAGGUUCUUCAGCUCCUGCUGCUGCUAUUGGGUGAGAGCGGGCUGAGACCAUGAAUUGGCUGUUUUGCAAGACCAGCUCCUUCACUGCAGAGGGUAAGCAGAGAGGGAGCAAGGGGCAGAGGCUGUGGCUGGAACCUUCCCCUACGGAGCCUGUGGCUGAAAGGAUAGUUCUGUUUCGCCAGCUUCCACUUCAGAGGAGGCUGGCAAAUAUGCUGUGACUCCUACCAAGACAGAAAACUCGGAAAUGGAGAACAGGAACAAGACAGAAGUUCCUAUGUGCUGCCUGCCCAGAUCUGAGUGGGCCUUACCAUGAGUGACCCUGGGAACAGGGCCAGAGUCAUACUGACCUGAUGCAAACCAGGGAACCAUCCCCUCAUGUGCUCUGUGUCCAUAGGCAGGUUGCUAGACUUCUCUGAACCUGUUUCCUGACAGUGCCCAUCGUAAAUAGUUCAUGGGAUCAAUAAGGAUGAUGGACGCUAAAACCACAUGCCUGGCACAGACCCACCUCCAAAAGUGAUAGCUUUUAUUAUUCUCGUUAUUCUAGAAAAUGUCUUUGUGAGUUGUUUGCUUGAUGAUUGAAACCAUGUUUCUUUUUAAUAAAAUCUUGAUUUAA
RNAcentral lists this long non-coding RNA (741 nucleotides) under Ictidomys tridecemlineatus (thirteen-lined ground squirrel). RNAcentral's name for it is "lncRNA (ENSSTOG00000034483.1)". Lineage: Eukaryota; Metazoa; Chordata; Mammalia; Rodentia; Sciuridae. The record is from RNAcentral.